Molecule: long non-coding RNA, 2530 nt
Organism: Symphalangus syndactylus (siamang)
Lineage: Eukaryota; Metazoa; Chordata; Mammalia; Primates; Hylobatidae
Source: RefSeq, a predicted model, not a curated record
CUGCAACCUCUGCCUCCUGGGUUCAAGCGAUUCUCCUGCCUUAGCCUCCUGAGUAGCUGGGAUUCCAGGGAGGUGCCACCAUGCCUAGCUAAUUUUUAUAUUUUUAGUAGAGAUGGGGUUUUACCAAGUUGGCCAGGCUGGUCUCGAACUCCUGACUUCACGUGAUCCACUGCCUAGGCAUCCCAAAGUGCUGGGAUUACAGGCGUGAGCCAGUGUGCCUGGCCUCAAAUUUCUUGACAUUCAAGGCCAUAAACCUCUGGCUUUGGGUUUCCAUCUAGCUCCCACCUUCCUCUCUCCUAAUCCACUCCAUGCACCCAUCCCUCCUGCCUACCUGAACUCCUCAAGGCUCCCCCAACAGAGACUUGUGCCUUUGUUUUCUUCACCAGGGACCUCCUUCCCCUCAUUUUCAUAUUUCAAAUCCUACUCACGCUUUAAACCUCAGCUCAAGUGCCACCUCCUUGUCAGUUUUUAAAAGUUCUUCCCAUCAGGAAAUAACCUCUCCCCACACUUUCCUCUCUUGGCAAUUUGUCUUUAUGCUUUCAGUACUUAGCACAUUCCACCUUACAGAUACUGAUGCGUGGGUCUUGCCACCCCUACUGGCUGGCGAUCUAAUUCACUUCUGCAGUCUUCCCCUGACAGACAGUAAGUGCUCAAUAAACACUCGAAAUAAAUAAAUAUGUUCCUCUAAUCCACACGUGGUGUAAAUGAAAUGCAAAUAAGUAUGCAAAUAUUCAUUUCUCUGUGACCCAGACUUUUUUAUUUGUGUAAAAUCUUCAAAGGCGCUUGGGGUCAAUGUGUGCUGGUCUGCAGGGUCAGGGUUCCUGAUUGAACUCUCAUGUAUUAGUCUGUUUUCACACUGCUAUAAAGAACUACCUGAGACUGGGUAAUUUAUGACGAAGAGGUUUAACCGACUUACAGUUCUGCAGGCUUAACAGGAAGAAUGACUCGGAGGCCUCAGGAAACUUAUAAUCAUGGCGGAAGGCAAAGGGGAAGCAGGGACCUUCUUCACAAGGUGGCAGGAAAGAGAGAGAGAGAAGGGGGAGCUGCCACACACUUUUAAACCAUCAGAUCUCAUGAGAACUCACUCGCUACCACAAGAACAGCAUGGGUGAAACUGCCCCCAUGAUCCAAUCACCUCCCACCAGAUCUUGUGGGGACUACAAUCCGAGAUGAGAUUUGGGUAGGGACACAGAGCCAAACCGUAUCACCUCAGGAAUCAGUUGAGCCCAGAAUUUCAACCAAAGGUCAGCAGUGCACACAUGAACGGGCCAUUCAGCAGGAUAGCGGAUGAUUCUUCAGGAAGAAUCUAUUCUCCAGUCAGAAAGAUCAUGUUCUGUGCUUCCGACAGCAUGCUUAGUCUAGACAGUUAAGAACACCUCUUCGUUAUUUUUGAGGGGACUUCAAUAAGAGGUGCCACCAAUUUAAGGGGCAGGGUUCUGGGUCUGGAGAAUUUCUGAUUAAUGUUUCUCUAAUCUUCUCCAGGACUGGACAAAGUCACAUUCCUUGGUUGUACGACAAGGCCUAGCCACAAAACAGAGUCCACUGGGAGAUUCCUUGUUUUCUGUUCUCUGAGAAUGUUUCAACUUUAUUCUAGAUUCUACAUAGAAUCUACCGGAUUUGGGGAUUCAUCUAUUGGCACCAAACUUGGCACAGGGCCCAAGAGCUGUGCUUGGAGACAAGAAAGCAGCUGCAGACACGUACAUACUGGUGAACACAUUAUUUGGCUGCCACCGGGUCUGAGCUGCUCAGAGGACAGCUCUGAAGCACUGAUCGGUGGAAAAAGCCACACCUGGUGGGACUGGCCCAUACAAACUACAGUGGGUCCAUGAGGCGCAGAGUGUCUCUGAUCACAGCCACUUUCACUUCUUCAUCAACGAGGCUGGGGACAUUUUCAAACACCCCUGGAGAAAGCUUGAAUGGAGUUUACGUUCUGGAAUGCUGCAAUCUGAGUCAAGCCCAGGCAACAAGCGAGAGGGGCUGUACGGCAAAGAAGUCAUGUGUUCUAUCUGCACGGAACAUUACAGCUUGAAAAGCCAUUCAUAAUCUUUAUCUCAUCGGAAUUUGACAACAAUCCUGUGAGGUAGGCAAGGAAGAUGAGGCACAGAGAAGUUGAGUGACUUAUACAAGAACACACAGCAAGUCAGUGGCAGAACCUAACUGGGUCCCUAAAUCUCUAGGUUCCAAGUCAGCUCAGACCUGUCACCUGCCUGCCGUAGACUGGAAAUAACCCAAAUGUUCCUUGACAGAAGAACUGAUAAUAAAUUGUGCAUAUUCACAGUGGAAUCUACAACAGUGCAAAUGAGGCAAUACCCACGACCCCCACCAGCAUGGGUGGACCUCGGAAACCUUAUGUGUAGUGGAAAAGAAUGUUGCAGGAGACUCCACACUUUAUAAUAGCAUUUUUUUUUUUUUUUAUUAUACUUUAGGGUUUUAGGGUACAAGUGCACAAUGUGCAGGUUUGUUACAAAUGUAUCCAUGUGCCAUGUUGAUUUCCUGCACCCAUUAACUCGUCAUUUAGCAUUAGGUGUAU